RNAcentral lists this long non-coding RNA (287 nucleotides) under Lathyrus oleraceus (garden pea). RNAcentral's name for it is "Pisum sativum (pea) long non-coding RNA (PSAT_LNC025124)". Lineage: Eukaryota; Viridiplantae; Streptophyta; Magnoliopsida; Fabales; Fabaceae. The record is from RNAcentral.
GAUACUCAGGAGUAGUAUUGCUGAAGUAAGUGGACGGUAGCUCACUCGAGAUUAGCCGGAGAGUUUCCGUAUUUUAGUUGAGGACUAGGUAAUGAGUCAAUGCUCUGGUCAUGUAACACGGGGUAGAUUGUUAGUAUUGAACUCAUAUCUUAUUUGGAUAUGCAUUACGUUAUUACUUGUGAACAUGUUUGAUUGCAAUUGCUGUUGGAGAGGCCAUCGUGCCAAAUAUUCUGGAUAUGGUUUUAUUUUAUCUUGAGGAGAUUAUUGAGAGAUGAUCAUGGUAUGGG